RNAcentral lists this ribosomal RNA (496 nucleotides) under uncultured bacterium. RNAcentral describes it as "partial 16S ribosomal RNA". It matches the Rfam family "Bacterial small subunit ribosomal RNA", at positions 29 to 523 of the family's 1533-position model. The record is from RNAcentral.
AAUAAACGCUGGCGGCGUGCCUAACACAUGCAAGUCGAGCGAGAAAGCUCCUUCGGGAGUGAGUACAGCGGCGAACGGGUGAGCAACGCGUGGGAAUCUACCCUUCAGUGAAGAAUACCCUUGAGAAAUCGAGGUUAAUACUGCAUACGUCCUGUAAAGGAGAAAGAUGGCCUCUUUGCUGUCGUUGAAGGAUGAGCCUGCGUACUAUUAGCUAGUUGGUAGGGCAACGGCCUACCAAGGCGAUGAUGGUUAACCGGCCUGAGAGGGUGUACGGUCACACUGGAACUUAGACACGGUCCAGACUCCUACGGGAGGCAGCAGUGAGGAAUCUUGCGCAAUGGGCGAAAGCCUGACGCAGCGACGCCGCGUGCGGGAAGAAGGCCUUCGGGUUGUAAACCGCUUUCAGGAGGGACGAAGCCACUCGGGUUAAUAGCCCAGAGGGUGACGGUACCUCCAGAAGAAGCCCCGGCUAACUACGUGCCAGCAGCCGCCGCCG